UUAAAGACUCGCAAUCCUGCCUCGAUCUGCCAUGGCCUCCCACCACUGCUGCAUCAUCGCCUCCAUAGCCAUGGCGAAUCUAGGAAAUGAUCCUUACCCAAUUAGCUCCUUGCCAGAGGCGCCAUUCUGGAUUUCAAUCCCCGAGCGAUUGAGUUGGCGGAGAAAGAGAUCCGGCCAACCCAGCCUCGACCUCCCAGGGUCAGGGAUGAGCAAUCGAGAGCUUGAGGCUUCCAUCUUCUACGAUGCAUGAUAGUUAGUCGCAUGGAAAGUAAGAAAAGCACAGAUCUCUGGGCGAGGGCAAGCGCAUUGACGAGAAAAUCGUCUCCUGCGGUCUCGAUCGUCAUAGCUUCCUCACGAACCUCGUCAUGGAAAUGUAUGGAAAGUACUGGCGCGGGAGAUACGUCUUGGGAAUCUUCCACAAGACGGAAGAUGGAGAUGUUUUCUUUGCGGCAUUUGCCCAAAACGGGUAAGUUCUGGCGUUCUCCCGGCAAAUGCCUCUCGAUCUAAUUCCGUCACAUUCUUGCAGCUACUCCCGAUGCAAGCUCUCGUCUUCCAGGAGAUUGAAUUCAAGGACGCCAGCUCCUCGAAGGGAUCAAGCCCAACCACAUCUCCUUUUUCACGGACGAGCUAAGACUUAUCAAAACUGUUCAUAAACCGAUUAAACAAAACUUUAAGUUGGGUCUCUGUGCCACCAAAUUCCUUUAGAUAGCCGGCUAACAGGUUAUGGGAGAUUAGGUCACGAACGCCUAUGAUGCUGAUCUACCAGCAUCAACCAUUCUCUCGUGAGCAGCUGAACUAUCAAAACGGAAGGUUGACCCUGGAUUGGGAGCUUUUCGAGCCCACAAGUAUGCUGGCUGCAUUGUAGUGAAGUUCGUUUCAAUUUCUGAAAACCAUUGGACUUCACAAACUUCUAAUGCGGUGAGCGUGGAUGGAAC
RNAcentral lists this long non-coding RNA (935 nucleotides) under Selaginella moellendorffii. Its description in RNAcentral is "long non-coding RNA (SMOE_LNC001771)". The record is from RNAcentral. Lineage: Eukaryota; Viridiplantae; Streptophyta; Lycopodiopsida; Selaginellales; Selaginellaceae.